CAUCGUACGCACUUCAGCGGAAGGCAUUUCAACACAAUACCCUUUGAAAAUUCGCAAUAUUUACAAACGGUCACAAUCAAAACAUAAACAAUAAACACGAACUGGAAACCACCUUUCUCUACUACGGUUUAGUACUGACUGUAGCGCCCCGCAAUGAGACCACGAACUACAUUAACUGUUGUUUGGGUAUCGCAACUUUCACAACAUGCGCACAUAAAAAGUAGUCCCAUGUAAACAAUGACUACGAAAACGUUUUGCAAUACUUCUCGAAGAGAUACCGCUUGACUUUUGGCUAUUAGAAAAUAUCUUUUAUCGAAAUCCAAAAUUUCGUAGCAUUAAAUUCGCAAACGGCUUUCAAAUUAUGUAAACAAUAUGGGAACCUCGGCGUAGGAAUUCCGAAUCAAGGUUACGUUACGUCUACACUUUAGCGGACGCUAGUGGCAGACAUGUGAAUGUGACAUCACAGUAAAACAAGUGGCAUCAUUUAUGAAGAUACAAGAUCAUUUGGAAAAGAUUUCCAUCCGAACUUCUGGCCAGGUAUAUGGACUUACAAGCCAAUAGGACACGAAUAAGCGCAGCAAUAAAAUCAUUUGUAACCUAUACGAAACUAAUAAAUGUAAGAGACUGCUAUGUCAAAAAAGUAAAUAAAAAACAAAAUAUUUAUCGUUCAUUCAAA
This is a long non-coding RNA of Photinus pyralis (common eastern firefly), 676 nucleotides long. RefSeq lists it as uncharacterized. The record is from RefSeq and is a predicted model, not a curated record. The transcript is spliced from 2 exons. NCBI's taxonomy places the organism in Eukaryota, Metazoa, Arthropoda, Insecta, Coleoptera, Lampyridae.